UGGGGAAUCUUGCGCAAUGCGCGAAAGCGUGACGCAGCAACGCCGCGUGGGGGAAGAAGGCCUUCGGGUUGUAAACCCCUUUCAGGAGGGACGAAGGUGUGACGGUGAACAGCCGAUCGCACUGACGGUACCUCCAGAAGAAGCCCCGGCUAACUACGUGCCAGCAGCCGCGGUAAUACGUAGGGGGCAAGCGUUGUCCGGAAUCAUUGGGCGUAAAGCGCGCGUAGGCGGCCCGGUAAGUCCGCUCUGAAAGUCCAAGGCUCAACCUUGGAAUGCGGGUGGAUACUGCCGGGCUAGAGUCCGGAAGAGGCGAGUGGAAUUCCUGGUGUAGCGGUGGAAUGCGCAGAUAUCAGGAGGAACACCCAUAGCGAAGGCAGCUCGCUGGGACGGUACUGACGCUAAGGCGCGAAAGCGUGGGGAGCGAACAGG
This 429-nucleotide ribosomal RNA is filed under the name Bacillota bacterium. RNAcentral describes it as "Firmicutes bacterium partial 16S ribosomal RNA". It matches the Rfam family "Bacterial small subunit ribosomal RNA", at positions 355 to 776 of the family's 1533-position model. The record is from RNAcentral. Lineage: Bacteria; Bacillati; Bacillota.